CCGCGUGAGGGAUGACGGCCUUCGGGUUGUAAACCUCUUUCAGUAGGGAAGAAGCGAAAGUGACGGUACCUGCAGAAGAAGCACCGGCUAACUACGUGCCAGCAGCCGCGGUAAUACGUAGGGUGCGAGCGUUAUCCGGAAUUAUUGGGCGUAAAGAGCUCGUAGGCGGUUUGUCGCGUCUGUCGUGAAAGUCCGGGGCUUAACCCCGGAUCUGCGGUGGGUACGGGCAGACUAGAGUGCAGUAGGGGAGACUGGAAUUCCUGGUGUAGCGGUGGAAUGCGCAGAUAUCAGGAGGAACACCGAUGGCGAAGGCAGGUCUCUGGGCUGUAACUGACGCUGAGGAGCGAAAGCAUGGGGAGCGAACAGGAUUAGAUACCCUGGUAGUCCAUGCCGUAAACGUUGGGCACUAGGUGUGGGGACCAUUCCACGGUUUCCGCGCCGCAGCUAACGCAUUAAGUGCCCCGCCUGGGGAGUACGGCCGCAAGGCUAAAACUCAAAGGAAUUGACGGGGGCCCGCACAAGCGGCGGAGCAUGCGGAUUAAUUCGAUGCAACGCGAAGAACCUUACCAAGGCUUGACAUGUUCUCGAUCGCCGUAGAGAUACGGUUUCCCCUUUGGGGCGGGUUCACAGGUGGUGCAUGGUUGUCGUCAGCUCGUGUCGUGAG
RNAcentral lists this ribosomal RNA (664 nucleotides) under Micrococcus sp. BSF_Yellow. RNAcentral's name for it is "bacterial SSU rRNA". It matches the Rfam family "Bacterial small subunit ribosomal RNA", at positions 397 to 1071 of the family's 1533-position model. Lineage: Bacteria; Bacillati; Actinomycetota; Actinomycetes; Micrococcales; Micrococcaceae. The record is from RNAcentral.